GUUCMAGUCGAAACGCCGUAGCAAUACGGAGUGGCAGACGGGUGAGUAACGCGUGGGAACCUUCCCAAUGGUACGGAAUAGCCCAGGGAAACUUGGAGUAAUACCGUAUAAGCCCGAAAGGGGAAAGAUUUAUCGCCAUUGGAUGGGCCCGCGUCGGAUUAGCUAGUUGGUGAGGUAAUGGCUCACCAAGGCGACGAUCCGUAGCUGGUCUGAGAGGACGAUCAGCCACACUGGGACUGAGACACGGCCCAGACUCCUACGGGAGGCAGCAGUGGGGAAUAUUGGACAAUGGGCGCAAGCCUGAUCCAGCCAUGCCGCGUGAGUGAUGAAGGCCUUAGGGUUGUAAAGCUCUUUUGGCGGGGACGAUAAUGACGGUACCCGCAGAAUAAGCCCCGGCUAACUUCGUGCCAGCAGCCGCGGUAAUACGAAGGGGGCUAGCGUUGUUCGGAAUCACUGGGCGUAAAGCGCACGUAGGCGGACUUUCAAGUCAGGGGUGAAAUCCCGGGGCUCAACCUCGGAACUGCCUUUGAUACUGUUGGUCUCGAAUCCGGUAGAGGUGGGUGGAAUUCCUAGUGUAGAGGUGAAAUUCGUAGAUAUUAGGAAGAACACCGGUGGCGAAGGCGGCCCACUGGACCGGUAUUGACGCUGAGGUGCGAAAGCGUGGGGGAGCAAACAGGAUUAGAUACCCUGCUAGUUCACGCCGUAAACGAUGGAUGCUAGYCCGUUGGCAAGCUUGCUUGUCGGUGGCGCAGCUAACGCAUUAAGCAUCCCGCCUGGGGGAGUACGGCCGCARGGUUAAAAACUCAAAGGGAAUUGACGGGGGCCCKGCACAAGCGGUUGGAGCAUGUGG
This 850-nucleotide ribosomal RNA is filed under the name uncultured Rhizobium sp. Its description in RNAcentral is "bacterial SSU rRNA". It matches the Rfam family "Bacterial small subunit ribosomal RNA", at positions 55 to 944 of the family's 1533-position model. The record is from RNAcentral. Lineage: Bacteria; Pseudomonadati; Pseudomonadota; Alphaproteobacteria; Hyphomicrobiales; Rhizobiaceae.